Long non-coding RNA from Rhinopithecus roxellana (golden snub-nosed monkey), 1481 nucleotides. RefSeq lists it as uncharacterized. NCBI's taxonomy places the organism in Eukaryota, Metazoa, Chordata, Mammalia, Primates, Cercopithecidae. The record is from RefSeq and is a predicted model, not a curated record. The transcript has 3 exons.
CCCAGGAAGUCAGUGCCGGGGCGGGGCGCGCUGUGAGGACUGAGGUCUGCAGCGAAGCCGAGGCCAGCCCCGUGGUCUUCGCUACCUUCGGCAACCAACGCCCAGAGAAGGGACAUCCCUGUAGAAGUUCUGCUGCAUGUGGUCCAGCCGACCCCACUCCUCCCGGGAGAGGUACAAGGCCACAUCCUCAAAAGUCACUGGCAUCUGAAACAAUAUGAAACAUCCACUCUCCAGGACAUGCCGUGGACACGGUGGAGGGACACCGUGUCAUGAGAUGUGUGGUGAGACCCCGGACUCCCAACCUGCUGUCUCUAGUGAGGCCUGCCACUUCCAUCUGAUGGGGAAGCAGAAUACGAGAGGACACAGAGACACAGAGAAGGAAGCAGAGACUGGAGGGAUGCCCACAUCAAGGACACCAGGAGCCCCCAGGAGCUGGAAGAGGCACGAGACGAUCCUCUUAGUCUAGAGCUUUCAAAAGGUGUGUGACCCUUCCAACACAUCGAUUUUGGACUUCAGUCCUCCAGAACUGUGAGAGAGCCAAUUCUGGUUGUUUUCAGCCCCCUAGAGGGUGGAAACUUGUUACAGCAGCCACGGGAGACUAACACACCAGGGCUGAGGAUGAGACAACACCCCAUGACCACGUAGCUCAAAAGCUUUGGGAAAGUCAGGGAGGGCCCUGGUGGGGCCUCAUCCACAGCACAGGGACUGGCUGGCCUUCUGCUGGGGACUCACACCCCUUCCUCCAUGCCCUGUCUGUGUUUGGGUCUUGAAGGGAAAGAACCUCAGGCCAUGAGUCAGGGUGCCUGGGUGCCAGACCCAGCGACACCCCUACCCAACCAGGCAGCCUUCAGGACGCAGCUGCUCUGCCCCUGCACAGAGCGGUCAUGAGGUUCACACAGAUAAUGAUGGAGAAGGAGCUGACGGCUCAGGAAAGUCCUGGAUAAACACAGGGCAGUGGUGGUCAUUAUUCCCCUCCCUGUGCGCACCAGACAGAAGCCAGCGCCAGCAGAGAAUGCCAAAGUGUGGGGCUCUACGGACAUGCACAAGGUGUUCAAGUCACACGGGAAGUAGAUGGGAAACUGAACGAUGCUAACAACUCUUUGUGCUGCUAUGGUAUGAAAACCAUAGAUGAUGGCGUCUCAUGCCUAUUAUCCUUAGAACCUCCCCAUGACCCUGCGAGACAGGUGGGAACGGCAGGCAUGUGGUCUGGUUCCCAGAGGCCAGGGACUGGCCCCUGGCCUGUCGAUGACUCACGCUCCUCCCACUCCAAGCCCGAAGACCCAGGUUCCCCACAAAUAGUAAUUACACACACACACACACUGGUAGCAGGUACGAGAAGGAGGAAGGACGGGAGCUCGGACCCAGUGAGAUGAGAAGCUGUGGUUACAGAUGGAGAAGCACAGGGAAGAACAGGUUUCCCUGUGUGCUCUGAGCGCUGCUCAGAAAGAAAACCUCACCAAUAGGACCCCCACCCAGACCCC